RNAcentral lists this ribosomal RNA (443 nucleotides) under uncultured bacterium. Its description in RNAcentral is "partial 16S ribosomal RNA". It matches the Rfam family "Bacterial small subunit ribosomal RNA", at positions 28 to 507 of the family's 1533-position model. The record is from RNAcentral.
GAUGAACGCUGGCGGCAUGCCUAACACAUGCAAGUCGAUCGGUAAGGCUCUUCGGAGUACACGAGAGGCGGACGGCUGAGUAACGCGUAGGAACACACCCUGCAGUGAGGGAUAAGACACCGAAAGGUGUUCUAAUACCGCAUACGGUCUUCGGAUUAAAGCAUUUAUGCGCUGAAGGAGUGGCCUGCGUCAUAUUAGAUAGUUGGUGAGGUAAUGGCUCACCAAGUCGAUGAUGUGUAGCUGGUCUGAGGGGAUGAUCAGCCAGACUGGAACUGAGACACGGUCCAGACUCCUACGGGAGGCAGCAGUGAGGAAUAUUUCACAAUGAGCGAAAGCUUGAUGGAGCAAUGCCGCGUGCAGGAUAAAGGCCCUCGGGUUGUAAACUGCUUUUAUAAGAGAAGAUUAUGACGGUAACUUAUGAAUAAGGGACGGCUAACUACGUG